CGCCGGGAUCGGGGUGAUCCCGGCGGGUCUUCCCAGGCUCCAGCCACGUCUCCAGGUGGCCCCGCGGGCUGAGCGGGGACAGCGGUGCGAGACGAGGUGUCCUCAGCGCCCCGAGCCUCCUGUAGGCUCUUCCUCAGCCCGUGGGAAGCGAGUGAUCGCUGCACCCCCCGCCCUGAGCCGCUCUGGGUAGUGAGUGGCUCCGGGCGCCUGUCACUGGAGAGCGGAAAUGCUAAGGAAAAAAAAAAAAACAAAAACACCGACAGGGCAUACCCGACUCACGCUGGCCCUCUGGUACAAACCCAGUGUGCCUAUCAUCAGUUUGAGGACUUCAGAGCAUGCUUGCAGUGUGUGGUGCGUGAGGAAAAGGAAGAAAAAUGACUAAAACUUGAAGUCAGACUCUGGCAUGCUUGAAUACCAUAUGCCUGCACUAUUGAGAGACUGGAGCAGAGUAUCUGGAGAAAGAUGAGAGAGUGUGGGUGGCAAUAGAAAAAACAACCACCACUAUAAUUUCUGGAAAUUAUUUCAGCUGAAUGAAUGCAGUGAAGACAUCUCAUGGGAAUAGGAGAGGUCUUGCAGACAAUACCCGACUGACUCUUCAGGCAAAAAAAGCAAGACACACCAAGAAAAUAGAAAUAUGACCCUAAAAAUCCCACCUGGGAUGCCUUAGAAUGGAUGUGAAAGUCCAGGCAAAUGAAGACUGCUCAAGCACUAGUUGCUUUAUAAACCUAAGAGGGUGAGAGGGAAAAGAUGGGCAGAAAAUAUCAAAGGCUUUGCCAUGGUUCUUAACCUCAUUG
Molecule: long non-coding RNA, 794 nt
Organism: Lepidothrix coronata (blue-crowned manakin)
Lineage: Eukaryota; Metazoa; Chordata; Aves; Passeriformes; Pipridae
Exons: 4
Source: RefSeq, a predicted model, not a curated record